UUGGAGGACCUUUCGGCUUUGACUUCUUCAACAAGAAGAACAAGCAAAAUAAGAAAUCUUCAAAGCACGAGUCUUCUUCUAAGAAAGGAGGAGAAUCAGUACAUGAGGCAAUGAGCAAUGAGUGGCUUGAAACAGGGCAGUGCCCCAUCGCAAAGUCCUUCAGAGCUGUAAAGCUGGUCCUUCCACUUGUUGCAAAAGCUCUACAGCCGCCUCCCGGUGUGAAAUUCAGGUGCCCUCCUGCUAUCGUCGCUGCACGGGCAGCCUUGGCCCGAACAGCCGUGGUAAAGAACCUGCGCCCCCAGCCGUUACCUGAAAAGAUGCUAGCCAUUACAUUGCUCGGUAUAGCAGCCAACAUUCCCCUUGGAGUCUGGAGGGAGCACAUGAAGAAGUUCUCGCCUCAAUGGUUCGCAGCCGUCCAUGCGAGCGUGCCCUUCAUCGGGAUGCUUCGGAAGGCCGUCCUCAUGCCAAAGACAGCGAUGGCGUUCACCAUUGCAGCAUCGAUACUAGGUCAGACCAUCGGGUCUAGGGCUGAGCGGAUCCGUCUGAAGGCAGUCGCUGCCAGAGCCUCAGGUCGUCACGAGGUCAUUGAAUCUCCCAUGAGGGGCGGGCAGUGCGGUGAGGAGCGAGUUUGGGAUCCACUUCUUCUCAAGGGGAAUAUGACAGUGGUGUCGACUUCUGCAAAAGCCAAUGCAUGCUACUGAGAUGAUGCAUUUGGGUUUGUAAUUUCAUUGUAUUUUCUUGAAAACCUAGGUGUGUUGUGUGUGUUUCCGGCUCAUAACUUUGGAACAUUACCCUGGUUUGCCGUGAAUAAGGCGGAAAUAUUGAAG
Molecule: unclassified non-coding RNA, 827 nt
Filed under: Hevea brasiliensis (rubber tree)
Lineage: Eukaryota; Viridiplantae; Streptophyta; Magnoliopsida; Malpighiales; Euphorbiaceae
Source: RNAcentral